RNAcentral lists this transfer RNA (81 nucleotides) under Spirochaetia bacterium. Its description in RNAcentral is "tRNA-Leu". It matches the Rfam family "tRNA". Rfam says of the family: Transfer RNA (tRNA) molecules are approximately 80 nucleotides in length. Their secondary structure includes four short double-helical elements and three loops (D, anti-codon, and T loops). The record is from RNAcentral. Lineage: Bacteria; Pseudomonadati; Spirochaetota; Spirochaetia.
GCGAGAGUGGUGAAAUUGGUAGACACGCCAGACUUAGGAUCUGGUUCGAAAGAAUAAGGGUUCGAGUCCCUUCUCUCGCAC